This 508-nucleotide ribosomal RNA is filed under the name Duplicaria sp. SL-2. RNAcentral describes it as "partial 16S ribosomal RNA". It matches the Rfam family "Bacterial large subunit ribosomal RNA", at positions 1817 to 2597 of the family's 2925-position model. Lineage: Eukaryota; Metazoa; Mollusca; Gastropoda; Neogastropoda; Terebridae. The record is from RNAcentral.
GUCUCCUUGUAUAUAUAAAAUAAGGAGUCGAGCCUGCCCGGUGAAUAUUUUUAACGGCCGCGGUACUCUGACCGUGCAAAGGUAGCAUAAUCAUUUGCCUUAUAAUUGAAGGCUAGUAUGAAUGGUUUGACAAGAAUAUAGCUGUCUCUAUAUAAUUUGGUAGAAUUUUAUUUUUAGGUGAAAAAGCCUUAAUGUAAUUAAAAGACAAGAAGACCCUAUCGAGCUUUAAAUAAGUUAGUAGAUAAAGAUUAAUAUUUAUAAAAAAUAGCUAUUAAAAAUUUUGGUUGGGGCGACUGAGGAACAAAAAAAGCUUCCUUUAAUAUGUUGAAAUACAUACAGGUAUUGAUCCAUGAUUUGUGAUUAAAGGAAUUAGUUACCGUAGGGAUAACAGCAUUAUCUUUUUUGAGAGCUCUUAUCGAAAAAAGGGUUUGUGACCUCGAUGUUGGACCAGAAUGUCCUAAAGAUGUAGAAGUCUUUAAGGGUUGGUCUGUUCGACCAUUAAAAUUCU